AGAGUGUAAUCUCCCAAACUUCCCUAAUUAUGAAGUUUCGGUGGGAACUAGCUUAAAAAGCUAUUAAAUAAGUUCCAGCGAAGUUUGGGGAGCAUUCGAAUGUUUUCGGCACGAAUUAGACUUGAAAACGGAAUCGAAAAGCUAAACUCUGCCUAAGUUGCAGAAUUUGUGCUGAGUACCGGUACUGGAAUCGGGUACCGGUACUGGACUAGUUAGGUACUGGUACUGGAAUCGGGUACCGGUACGCAGUGGUAAAAUGAAAAAAUCUAGCUCUCGGGUUUUGAAGUACUGGAGCAGGGUACCGGUACACGAACCCGACUACCGGUACUCAGCCUCCCAGAAUGCUGAUUUUGAUGGGUAAAAGUGUAAUUUCACUAGGGGCUUAUAUAAAUAGGUGCCCAUCGCUUUUCCUCAGCAGAGAACACACACACGCAUACUUAGAGAGAGAGAGAGAGAGAGGAGCUCAUCCCCCUCACACUCUUCUUCCUCCUCUCUGACUCGGCGAUCUUGGUGGAGAUCAGACUCGGGAAGCUUGGAGAAGUGGUGGUUCGAGCACUCGGGCGCUUGGAGGCUCGGUGUGUUUCCGACUCGAGGUUCAUUUUAGGGUUUGAGCUAGGGUUUUGGGUUUAAACCUUCUAAAUGGGUUUCUAGCAAACCCUAGGCUAAUCUAAGCUAUAAAUUGUAGAGAUUAGCAUGUGAUUUUUGAGUUUGCCAUUAUUUGUGGAAAACCCUAGGUUAGAAAGAGGGGUUUGUUAGUGGAGGGUUUAAAAAUUAUUUUAACCCUUUGAAACUCUAAUUGAGGGUUAGGAAAUCAUAUGAGGCUAUUUGAUUUCAAGUAGAGAAAUUAUUUAGUGGUUCGAAAAUGGUAACGAGUGGAUCUCUUGUAUAGAGCAAGGAAAGCUUGGAAGCAAGCUUGGAGAUCCAAGUGUUGGCCUAAUUGCAAGUGUCUACAAACAAUUAGGAGGCUUGAAAGGUUGGUUAUGCUUCACCGAAGUGACUAGGUCGCUUCCAUGCCAAAGUGAAAGUAUGAUUUUGUUUAUUGAUGCAUACAUGUAAUGAUAGAUUAAUUGGUUAAAUAAGUAGAUAUAGAUGACAUGCUAUUUAGGGUAAAUUAUCUAUCAUUAGACAAGAACAUGAGCAUGUGGAACAUAUAGGAUAUGUAUAUGUAUGCCUAGAUGCGGUUAGUAAACAUAGGUUGAUGAACUCUAGGAAGAUUAGAGAACUCGACAAGUAUAAAACAAGGACUAGAUGUAAUGAAUCCUAGAUAUGGACAACUAGGAUAAUGAGUGGCAUGGUUGGACAUUGAACCUAGUGUUAUUGAACAUAGGUUGGACAUUGAAUCUAGUGUUAUUGAACAUAGGUUGGACAUUGGACCUAGUGUUGUAGAACCUAGGUUAUGAAGCAUAGUGGUAGGAUAACCACUAGGGUAUGAAUGACUUGAACCUAGAAAGAUUGACAAUAUAGGGUAUGAGAUGAACCCUUAAGUUUUGGAAAGUGGAUUCCGGAAUCCCUAGGAUUGUUGGCUGCGAGUAUGUAUGGUUCUCCUCGCUCGGCAGCAGUUUAUACUUGUGGGUACGUGUGGUUCUCCUCGCCCGGCAAGUGAAUCAUAACUGUGGGUAUGUGUGGCUCUCCUCGCCCGGCAGUCAUUCAACGGGUAUGUGUGGUUCUCCUCGCCCGGUAUGCGACUCGUGGUCAAGGGUAUGUUGGUAUUUCCUCGCUCGACGAAUGACCUAUAGUCGAGUGGAUUUAAGGCUGAGAUGCAUGUGAGACGUCCUUCACCUCGAGCCUGGACAAUGAGCGGUAGUCUGCUGGUAAUUGACUCAAGACUGAGUCCGGUGGUAUAGCUUGGCUAAGGUAAAUGAACCUUNCCCGGUAUGCGACUCGUGGUCAAGGGUAUGUUGGUAUUUCCUCGCUCGACGAAUGACCUAUAGUCGAGUGGAUUUAAGGCUGAGAUGCAUGUGAGACGUCCUUCACCUCGAGCCUGGACAAUGAGCGGUAGUCUGCUGGUAAUUGACUCAAGACUGAGUCCGGUGGUAUAGCUUGGCUAAGGUAAAUGAACCUUAGAAGUGGAUUGUAAAAAAUAUGAGUAGUGAAAUAAAAAGUAGAAACGGUAGAUCUACUUAUAUUGCAUUUAUGUUGUAUUAUCGCAUGUUGUGAGGCAUAAGCAUGUUAGUUAUUAGUUGCAUAAAUUUAUAUGUUUACAUAUAUAUACCUUUUGGAUUAACCUACUUAUCUUGCCUCCUUUGACCUGGUGGGUCGAGCUCUUCCCUUGGGUGGCCGUACCGAUUGGAAACUAUAUUUAUAGUUCUCACCCCACAUUUUUUAGGUCCACCCGUGAGUGGCGCGGCGGCGCGAGGAAAAGGCGUAGCUCGGUAGAUAGCGCCCUACCAUUGAGACCAGAGAUAGAAGUACCCCGAGUCAGCAUAGCUCAGGGGUAUAGGGAAAGAAAAGAAUGAAACAAAAUUUGUAAUAAGUUUGGUUGUAUUUGGAAGUUGAAUGUAAAUGUAAAUGUAAAAAUUGAGACGAAUGCUUGUUAUAGCUUAGUGGUUACUAGCGUAGGAACCCGCGCGAUGCGGCGUGUAGAAAUAUUUUAGUAAAAAUUUACAGUCUAUAGAUUUAAUAAACAAAUAAAAACGUUAAAAAGAAACAGAAAAAAUAUUUAAAAUAUUAUGAAGGGUAAUAAAUAAUGAAAGAAAAACUAAAGAGGCUCAAAUUCACAUUUAACUAAUCAUAUAAAGAUAUUUAUCUAUCCUAUCAUCUUUUCUAGUUCAAAUUAGAUUUCUCUUAAAAGCCAAUUAUUAUUGCAUUUGUCUAUGGACAUUCAAAUUGUCAUGCCAUCAAAAAAUUAGUACGAAAUGUAAAGAAAUAAAAGAAAAAGUAUGAAGGAAUAUAUAAUAGUCAUACAAAUAAAUUUAAAAAUAAUAAUAGUUAGUUUUUAACUACCGUUAAAUUGUAAAAGCCUACCUUUCAUAUAUCUAUAAGCCAACAAUCUAUAUACUAUGUUAGUUUGUUGAUGUAAAUGCUAAUUUAAUCAGUUUUAUUUUUUAUAAUUUUACUCCAUCAAUUUUUGUGUAACUCAAAUGACUUAUUCAUGAACAGUAAUAUGCAACAAAAAAAAAAGAGAGAAAUAAUACAUAUUCAUCCCACAUAGAAGGAGAGGAAUCCGUAUUAGCAGCUUCAAUUAGACAAUUCGAAAGUCCCAUCCGACGACUUCCAUUUUGCCGUUUCGUAUCGAAAAAAACCCCCCAAUAUCAUCUAUGGUCUUCUCGAAAGAGGACAUAGGAGGGCUUUAGACCAAGAACAGUCUCUUUCUUUUUAUAUAAAUAAAUAAAAUAAGGAAGAGCUUUUCCCCAAGAGGAAAGAGCAAGAAUUUCGGGAUGCUAUUGGCUAUGAUAAGAGUAAAAAGACUCACUUUCUAAAGCAAAGCUUUCUAUCCUCCUUUAGGCUAUCGAUGAAGCUUUAGUAACUAAGAGGUCUUGGCUUUUAAUUAUUACAUGCAUACCACUAUUUAUUUGGGAGUUUGGUAACUAAGAGGUCAUGACUUUUAUUACAUGCAUACCACUAUUCUGUAUUUGGGAGAUGAGGAGGGAGGGGUUUUGGAAGAUGAGGGGUUUCGGGGGUUGGGAGGUGAGAGGGGAGUAGUUUUGAGAGAUGAGGAGGUAGCAGUUUUAGGGGUUCAUUUAGUUUUAUUUCUUUUAUGUUAUAUGCAUGGAGUUACAAGCAUAUAUUUAUAUUUCUUGUUGUAGUGUAUAUAUAUUGCUUUGAAAUGUUAUAACUCUUUUUAGUUAUACGUAGAAGAUGGUUUUUAAGAAUUAACAAUAAAUUAAGAUAUUAACAUUUUAAUUAACAAUAAAUUCAGAUAAUAAACCACCAUUAAAAAAUAUAAAAAAUCUAAAAAUAGGAGAGCUUGCCAUGUCAUCAUUUUUAUUGGGGAUUCAUAUAGAGUUAUAGAUGUUUUUGAUACAUUCCUUAUGCAAUCCAUGUAUGAAUUCUUUUCCUGUUUGGAACCCGUGAAUUGUACUGAACUCCGCUAUAGGCAAGAAAUCAUGCCAUCCUCCUUUGUAAUCUAGCACACACGCUCGAAGCAAGUCCUCGAGGAUUUGUAUUGUCCGCUCCGACUGUCCAUCACUCUGAGGAUGAAACGCUGUGCUAAAGUCGAGUCGCGUGCCUAGCGCGUCUUGCAAGCUCUUCCAAAAAUGGGAUGUGAACCUGGGGUCUCGAUCCGAUACGAUUGAUACCGAAACCCUAUGAAGUCUCACAACUUCGUCGAGGUAGACUUGAGCUAACUUGUCUCCCGACCAUGUAGUAUGUACUGGCAAAAAGUGUGCCGACUUUGUCAGUCGAUCCACUAUCACCCAUAUCGCAUCGUGUCCGCCUUGUGACCGAGGCAAACCGGUAACAAAGUCCAUUGCUAUGUCUUUCCAUUUCCAAACGGGUAUUGGUAGACUUUGUAGCUUUCCCGCCGAAAAUCGGCGCUCUGCUUUGACUUGUUAGCACGUUAAACAUUGUGCCACGAACUCCCCAAUAUCUCUUUUCAUACCCGGCCACCAAUAAUGCUCCUUCAAGUCUUUGUACAUUUUAGUGCCGCCGGGGUGUAUGCUAUAGGGAAAUUGAUGCGCCUCUUGCAUGAUCGCCCUUCGCAACUCAUCAUCUUUAGGCACGCACCAUCGAUUUCGAAAUCGAAGCACGCCGUCAGCUCCAAUGCCAAAGUCUUCGGCAUUGCCAUUCUCAACUUCACUCCGCACCCUUUGAAGAUAAGGGUCCGAAGUUUGAAGAUCCUUGAUUCUUUCCAAUAGGGUCGGUUGCACAACUAACGCGGCAAGUGUAGCCGGCACUUCCGGCGCUACCACUUCCAACCCAAAUCGUUGCAUCUCCUUUUGUAACAGCGGUUGAGGCGUAAUUGCCGUCGCCAAGUUCUCCGCCGACUUUCUACUUAGAGCAUCGACCACGACAUUGGCUUUCCCGGGGUGGUAUAGUAUAGUGACAUCGUAGUCCUUUAACAACUCCAACCACCGCCGCUGCCGCAUGUUCAAUUCCUUCUGGGUGAACAAGUACUUUAAACUCUUGUGAUCGAUGUAUACCUCACAAUGUUCACCGUACAAGUAAUGCCUCCAAAGCUUUAGCGCGAAGAUCACCGCAGCUAACUCGAGGUCGUGAAUCAGGUAGUCUUUCUGAAACUCUUUAAUUGGCGCGAUGCAUAUGCAAUGACUCGCCCAUUUUGCAUUAGUACACACCCGAGACCAACAUAAGAGGCAUCACUAUACACUACAAAAGUCUCCCCCGGAGUCGGCAAGGCAAGCACCGGGGUCGACGUCAAUCUGCUCUUUAAUUCCUCGAAGCUUCGAUCGCAAUCGUCGCUCCACACGUAUCUUACUCCUUUAUGCGUAAGGCGCGUUAGUGGAGUGGUUAUUUUGGCGAACCCCUCCACGAACCGCCGGUAGUAGCCCGCAAGUCUAAGAAAACUGCGGACCUCCGCUACAUUCGUCGGACGAGGCCAACCCUUUAUUGCCUCUACUUUCUUCGUGUCUACCGAAACUCCAUCGCCCGACACUACAUGGCCCAAGAAUGUGACCUCCUUUAGCCAAAAGUCACACUUCUUCAACUUCGCAUAGAGCUUCUCCUGUCUAAGUAUUUGCAACAUCGCUCUCAGAUGCUUUUCAUGCUCCUCUUCACUUUUCGAGUAGACCAAUACGUCGUCUAUAAACACCACGACGCAUCGAUCCAACAAAGGCCUGAAGACUCGAUUCAUUAAGUCCAUAAAUGCUGCCGGGGCGUUAGUAAGCCCAAACGGCAUUACCGUGAACUCAUAAUGGCCAUACCGCGUACGGUACGCCGUUUUGUGCACAUCCUUCGGCCUGAUCUUUAAUUGAUGCUACCCCGACUGGAGAUCAAUCUUCGAAUACACCUUGGACCCUUGCAACUGAUCGAAUAGAUCGUCAAUUCUCGGCAAUGGGUACUUGUUCUUUAUCGUCACUUUGUUCAACUCGCGAUAAUCUACGCAUAGUCGAAGUGUGCCAUCCUUUUUCUUCACAAAUAGCACUGGAGCUCCCCACGGUGACACACUCAGCCUCACAAAGCCUUUAUCGAGCAAGUCUUGCAGUUGGCCUUUAAGCUCCUUUAACUCUACCGGUGCCAUUCUAUACGGACCCUUCGAAACUGGUUCUGCCCCGGGAAUCAAGUCAAUAACGAACUCAACUUCCCGGUCCGGUGGCAGUCCCGGUAACUCCGCCGGAAACACAUCCGGAAACUCGCACGCUACUCGGAUAUUCCCCAACUCUGGGUACUCCUUUCGAGCAUCUACCAUGGUUGCCAAAUAGGCCUUACACCCUCCUUUGAUCAUUUUCUUCGCCCUCACAGACGAUAUAGUCGCCGCGAAGCGCCUACUUUUGCACGCUUGGUAGACUAACUCUUCUUGAUUAGGCUCACGAAAAGUGAUCACCUUGCUUUCACAAUCUAUCACCGCAUAGUACUUGGAGAGCCAGUUGGUCCCCAAGAUAACAUCGAAUCCCCACAUCUGAUCUAGCACUAGCAGAUCAAUCGGCAUAAUCCAAUCGCCUAUUUGCACUGGACACGCCAAACACUCGUUAUGGACACUGAAUGAAUGCUCUGGAGCGUUCACCCACCAGUAAUCCUCAUUGUAUACCAUCUCUAUGCCAUGUGUUUUAGCAAAUGAAGUGCUAAUGAAUGAAUGAGAUGCGCCUGUGUCAAACACUGCUCUAGCUCUAGUGCCUUUAAUCACAAUUAUACCUGCCACGACGUCGUCGGGUGCUGCAGGUUGCUGCUCCUCCACCUGAGCGGCAAAGACUCGGCCGCUAGGCGCUCUCGAUCCCUCCGGCUGACGCGGUGAUGACGCGCGCCCAGCCGACAUUGCUGGUGGUAACCCCGCAAGCUGUCUCGGGGUAGAUGGUGCUGAUGCCGCCAUCGGCGCAGACGGCGUCCAUGUCGGGCACUCCCGGAUAAGAUGUCCCGGUUGGCCACACUUGAAACAUUUGCCGUCUCGCUGCGGGCAAGUCGACACCUUGUGCUCACUGCCACAAAUGACACAUCGAGGAGGUCUCCAGUUCCUCGACUGCUGUCUGGGAUACCGAGGGGGUUUCUUAACAUUUGGCCUGCCCCCGGCACCGCCUGCCAUUCUCUUCUUGCCCUUGUCUUUAGACUCGGCCAUAGCUUCUUGUUCUUCACGUACAUGGGCGCUACCGUGUUCCGCCCACAAAGCUCUAUCAAAGACCUCCGCAAAAGGUCGACAGCUUCAGGAUUUGCACUUUCUCAUAAAUUCGGGGCUGGAGUCCUCGCAAGAACCAAUCCGCCCGGUCCCGAUCAUCACGAACAACGUCGGGAACACAGUCGAUGAUGUGAGAGAAUUCUUGCUCAUACUCUCCCAUCGAUCGAUCGCCCUGUCUCAACUUGCUGAACUUUUCUUGCAACUUCCGCUUCACCGUGUUGGGGAAGUAGUUCGCGAACACCUCUCUCUUGAACUCCUCCCAUAGCAUAAGCGGAAGAUCGGCAGGUCGAUCCCACUUCACUCGUUUCCACCACACCAUCGCCGCCUUCCCUAGACAAUGGGUGGCGAGGUACACUUUGUCUUUCUCCGAGGUAUUGAGGUCCUCGAAGAGUGUCUCCAUUGAGUCGAUCCACGACUCCAUGACCGUCGGCUCUACCAAUCCGCCCUCGAAGGUAGGUCGGUCAAACUUCUUGAAUUGUAUAAGCGCCGCCAGUGUGCGCUCUCGCUCUGCAUCAACUGUCGCACCAUCGGGGUUUGAGGUUCCCGAUCCGGCCGGUACUACUGUAACUGGAACAGCCGCUGCUACCGCUGCUUCCUCGUCCACGCUCGGCACUACCACAGGGGGCGCGACAUGCUCGACACCCGCCUGGGCCGCCGCCUGCUGACGCUCCAAGGCCUCAUGGAGCCGCUGAAUCUGCUCCCCUUGGCGUUGGACAGACUCCGCUUGCUGCCGCACUACGCCAAUGAGCGCGGCCAUCUGCUCCCUAAGCUCCCCGUCGCCACUAGCUCCGGAUCGCUCGGGCUACGUACCCAGCUCCUCUGGCAUUGACCUUGUCUGCGAUCGACGUCGAGGUGCCAUUGCUUCCUGAAAAGGAGCAACUCGCAUUAGCUACUUGACAAACAUUACUUGACCAUACCCAAUUCGACGAAAGCAACAUGCACAUUCAUCCUUGCUUCAAGCGUCAUGUCGUCGGCCGCCCGACACAACACUAGAAGUAGAGGACAAACGAAAUUUAAACUUAGCCUCUAAUCACAUUAGAGACGUCCCAACUUAACCCAAUCAUAUGCUUUCGCUAACUUUGAUCCCACGUCACUCACGUUCCCUAGAUCCUUAAGGCCUUCCAAUCCUAAGGGUCUCUAGGUCCAUUCCUAUUCUUUCACUCUUGUCUCUGAUACCACGCUAUCUGUCACGCCCUGGGACCGAUACCAAUUUGGGCCAGCCCGAGCACGUCAAACAGACGCCGAACGGACAGAGUUUCCCCUGUCCGCCCAAGGCUCAUCACAUGUACAUUUUCAUCAAUAGAGAAAAGCACUAGCGGAAACAUACACAAACGGCUUACACGAGGGUAAGCAAUAGCCAUUAGUGAAAGAAAAAGGAAACUAAACAUUCACUUGUACUAUGAUUCAUUUUUGAUCAUAUACAUUGCAUUCAUCUUGUACCUUUUUGAAUUCUUACAUUCAUUACAUCAUUUCUUUCUUACAUCACAUUUACCUCAAAAAGGUGCUUUACAUUCUUUCUUUACAUCACUAAUCAUCAAGUUCAAAAGAUGAUAAAAGGGUAAUUACUAACGAAAUAUAAACCCAACUCUGGUGGCCUCUGACUAAGGCGCGAUAUCUUUACCUCGGUCGCUCGCCGGCUCGCUCGGUCCCGGCUCUGUGGAAAUAGUGGGGUGAGAACUACAACAAAGUUUCCAGUGGGUUCGGCCUCAACAUCACCGACUUUCCCACUAGGACUAACUCAGGCAUAAUAGAAAGGAUAAGCUGUAUAUAGUAACCAAUCUAUAACAUGAUGCUAAUAUGCCUGAACAAUAAGCAGGAAAUAUGCUCAACAUUAAACAUAUACAGAUUAUGCAAGUUCUUUCGUUCUUUACACUUUACAAUUUACAAUUUGUUCUUUGUUCUUUGCUCUUUGUUCUUUACUUUUUGUUCUUUAAUCUCAAGGCUAAUCCGGGGGUUUCGCCACAUUAACUUGCUCACAUUAAGUCCAUCAUUGCAGGAACUCACCCGCUAGGACCGUUCUUCGGGUUUACUCCAACCCAUGAUGCAUAACUCCGGAGCGCAUCGCCUGAUGGGGAGCGACCGCCCUCGAGCACGGAACUCAUAGCAAGUAUGAUCGAAUCCUUAACUCAAAGGAUUGUAUGUUCAAUCGUGACUUUACACUAACUCUAGUGUUCUUUACAUCACUUUAUGUUGCCACUCUAGCAAUCAUGUUCUUUACUUUUGUUUACCUUUGCUAACUCUAGUAAUCACGUUCUUUACAUUUCCUUACUUUUGGCUAUCUUUAGCAUUCUUGUUCUUUACACCCCACUUUAUUUUCACUUAAAUCAUUAGCAUUAUUCUUUACAUCACAUUGAUUCUUUGCCUUACACUAGCUCUAGUGUCUCUUUACGUUGCACUAUCAAAUGCCACUCGAUCUAUGUCAUGUGUCACUCUGUUCUUUUGACUCACUUUGGUUCUCACAUUUCACCUCAUGCACACAUUUAGGGUUUUUGACAUUCAUAAGGUUCUCAACCAUCACAUUAUGCAAGUUGUACUCACAAUCAUGCAACAUCACAUUAUUAUCAUUACUUAACCCUAACAUGCAUGCAACAACGUGUAAACAUAUGCUCAAUUGAAUGACACAUUAGGCAUAGAGGAAAGUUCAACAAGUUUGAGAAGCAUCACCGACCUCGUAGCUCUCAAGGGUGCUCCGAUGAUUUUCUUGGGAUUUUUAGACUUCUCAUUCUUUACCUGUGGCAAAACGAAGCCAACUUAGGUUGCCCAUAACUUUACAUUGGCGUUUCGUAAUGCUAAUCCGAGCGCACCAACGCGUCGGAAAUACCCCCAAUUACGUUUCUAGAGGGUCAAUUUCACUUAGGAAUCCCCAUGAGCAAAAGCCCCAAUUUAGGUGCCCUAGCUCCAUUACAUGUAUCAAACCUAAGGUUUGAUCCCAAUGGGAAGCAAAAGUAGCUUCAAUAUACUCUAAAGAGUCCAUUAGAACCAUUCCUAACUCAUUCCAAACCCUAAUUUGGAUUUCACCAUGAGAGGGGAUGAAGCUCUCCUUCAAGCUUCACCUCCAAUACUAAACCCAUAGUCUUGAUCUCAAAUGAAGCAAAAGAAAAGCUUCAUAGACUCUAAAUAAUCCAUUAAAAUCAUUUCUAGGUUUAUUCAAAGCCCAUUUUAGGGUUUCACUACAAUAGGGUUCAAAGCUCACCUUGUAAGCUCUCCUUUUCCAAGCUAGAGAGGAAGAAGAUGAAGUUGCUUCACCUCUUGAUCUUCUUCUUCACCUUCUUUUCCUUCUUUUCCUUCCUUUCUUUCUUUCUUCUUCUUCUCCUUUGCCUUCUAGAGAGAGAGAGGGAGAGAAGAGAGUGUGUGUGAGGGAGAGAAUGAGAGAAAAGGCUCUCUCAGCCCUUAACACAACCCAUGGGUUGCAAAAAUGCAAAUAAACCCCUCAACUUUCAUCUUAUUCAACUGCCUGGACUGGGCAGUUUUCGGGCUCGGGGACCGGUCUCCCCGACUAGGGAUCGGUCUCCGAGAGCUCUCCAAGCGCAGCCAGAGUUGCUGCGCGCAAUGCGACCGGUCUCUCUCUGGGGGGACCGGUCUCUCGGGGAGGGACCGGUUCCUGAGAGCUGGUUUUCAGGGACUUAGCCUAUUUUUCGGCUGUCUCAUUUCUCACGCAUUCGGGGAUCGGUCUCUCCCACCAGGGACUGGUCCCUGAGAGCUGAAAAUCUGCAGUUUGUAGAAUUUUGAUUCUUAGCUCUCGAAAACCUUCCACAACUCUCUUUUGAUCAUUUUAACACCUUCGGACUUUCCGAAGUGUACCAUCCUCGCACUUUGGUCAAUUUGACUAAAGUUCGAUAUUUAUUUUCCGAUUUCUCGGUAUAUUACAUUGUGUUUGCUACCAGGUCACACAAAUAAUUGUGUUUAGUGGCAGCGGGUGACUUGUGGCAUGAGUCGGUGAGUUUCGAGACAGUUUGUGGGUCCCGGCGGAGUCCUAAUAUGAUUUUCGGAACUCUAGCGAGUUACGGUACUCGGUUUUGGGAAACCGACUUCCGUGGGUUUACAGGUGGGAAUGUGAGUUAGUGUUUCUUAUUUGUGGGUUAGAUACUAACCCGGCGGACCCUUCGUAGGUCCGGUUGACGUUCUUCUGCAGUCGGGAGACAGGUGCUAUGUACGUACAGGUGUGUACUUCGACCCGAAGUCGAUACACUCGGUGACAUCCUUUCCACCCUUCUCCUACUAUCACUUUGCAUUUUAUAUGUUGAGACUUGCACCUUUAUUAUCUCUUUAUUGCUCUACUCAGUUAGUUUACAUAUCUAGCAUCAUGAGUAGAAGUAGAGCAGGUUUGUGAUUAUAUGUGAGAUCUGUGACCUAGUCGGUCGGUUCUCUGUACUUUGUAUGGUGACCUAUUCGGUUGGUUCACUGCAUCUGAUAUUGUGACCUACUUGGUCGGUUUGACUACGUGGCGACCUACACGGUCGGUAUACCCUGAGGGGUCGAAUUGUCGGCUAGUGGCUGACGGCUAGUUCUGGAUUAUACAGAUGUAUGACGUGACAUCCUUGUGACUUAUUGUCGGUUCUUGUGCAUAUAUGUUAGUUGACAUUAAGUGGUCGGUACUUGUAUACCUUUGGAAGGAUGUUGAGUUGUUCCAUCCUAGUUGACUUGAGUGGUCGAUAUUUGUGUUCCUUACGGUUCGAUGACCUAUACGGUCGACAUACGCUGAGGGGUAGGAUUAUCGGCUAGUUGCCGACAGUUGGAUAUUGAGCAUAUCAGCACUGAUCGCCACUGCUCGUACGCAUUUCAUGAACACCAGCAGUCUGAUCCACCGUAAGAGGGUGUUUUUUUCCGGAAAAGUGGUUUGGAAUGCCAGCCUGUGAGCCCAAGAGCUUAUGCUGGGGUUAUAUGCUUUCAGACCCAAGAGCUUAUGCUGGGGUCAUAUACCUUUUGACCCAAGAGCUUAUGCUGGGGUCUGACCCAAGAGCUUAUGCUGGGGUCAUAUAUAGAUUAGAGCAAUUGUGGCACAGGCCUGAGGUGUGCGGACCAACAUGGCAGGUUUUUGAUUAGGUUACUUUUGGACUUGUCGUCCGGUUGAUGCAUGCAUACAGUAGCGGUAGUGAUUCAUAUAUAUAUUUCAUUUUCUUAUUUAUUAUUGCUAUUGUAUUACUGUUAUCUAUAGUUUCAGUUAUCCUUCGUGACUGGUGAGUACCCCUCGUCCUCGUCGGCUUGCGGUACCCACUGGUAGGGAAGACAUGUGUAUAUGUUCUCACCCCCCACCCCCUUUCAGGUGACGUUGUGGGUCCGAGUCUUGACGGUUCGUGAGGCGCGUACCUUGCGAUCGAUUAGAACUCUCGACCCAGUGGACUUUGGUUAAAUUUCUUAACUUGCCCUCUCAAAUAAUUCACCUAGAUAUUAUGGUUCAGUGGUUUACUUUAUUCAGAUACAUGUGGUUUUGUAAAUGUAAUAAAAUACUUACGAUUUUCUUAUGAGACGAAAACAGUUUCAUGACUUAAUGUUUCAAAAUGAGUUUUCGGGUAAAAAAUAUUUUAAACUAAUAGAUGUGGAUAUGUGAAUAAUUGUGAUGAGAUGAAUAUGGGUGUGAAUGGUGAAUGAAUAUGGAUGUUCAUGUGUGUGGUUGUAUCUUGAACUUGUGCGACGCCGUGCAAAUACAGGGGAGACUCUGUCCAUGUGAACAGUGGACUCCCUGUAAUUAUGGCGGAUCUGGCAUACCUGGGGUCAAGUUUUUUUUUUUUAAAAAAAUUGGGCACUUCCGCAUUGGUUAUAAAUCCAAAAGGGACCCUGGGGCGUGACAUCUCGUUGUGCGAUUUGCUCUAUACAUUUGAUUCUAGCCUUAGUGGCACAUUUAGAUUUGGAAUUGUUUCAGAUGGCUGUCAAGAUAGCUUUUCUCAAUGGAGGAUUAGCAAAAGAGAUUUUCGUGGAUCAACCUGAGGGUUUUGUACUCAAAGGUCAAGAAGACAAGGUUUGUCGUCUUAAAAGAUCCAUUUAUGGUCUCAAGCAGUCGUCGAGACAGUGGUAUUUCAGGUUUCAUGAAGCCAUCACCACUAUCGGUAUGUCCAUGAUAGAGGAGGACCACUGUGUAUAUGUCAAGAAAACAGAAAAGGACAUUCUGUUCUUUUCCCUAUAUGUUGGCGACAUACUAUUGGCUGGAAAUAACAUGGAAUUGAUCAACACCACUAAGGAGUNUAUGGUCUCAAGCAGUCGUCGAGACAGUGGUAUUUCAGGUUUCAUGAAGCCAUCACCACUAUCGGUAUGUCCAUGAUAGAGGAGGACCACUGUGUAUAUGUCAAGAAAACAGAAAAGGACAUUCUGUUCUUUUCCCUAUAUGUUGGCGACAUACUAUUGGCUGGAAAUAACAUGGAAUUGAUCAACACCACUAAGGAGUGGUUGUCUCUCAAUUUUGAAAUGAAAGAUAUGGGUGAGGCGAGCUAUGUGCUCGGAGUGAAGGUCAUCCAUAAUCGCUCUAGAAGACUUCUUGGUUUAUCUCACGAAUCUUAUAUUAAAAAGGCUCUAGAGCAUUUUAUAAUGAAUCAUUGUAAACCUGUUGACACUCUAGUGGAGAAGAAUCACAUUCUGAGUUUUGAUCAGUGCCCUAAAACGGAUAAAGAAAAGGAGCAAAUGAGUAGGGUUCCUUAUGCGAGUGUAAUUGACAGCUUGAUGUACGCUAUGAUGUGUAUACUCGACCUAACAUUUCCUUCGCUGUUGGUUUGGUAAGUCGUUGCUAGAUCAACCCAGGACCCAUUCAUUGGCAAGCGAUCAAGAGAAUCCUUCGAUAUUUAAAAGGAACAAGCAAUCUCGUUCUCUGCUUUCAAGCUGGAGACUUGAGAUUGAAAGGAUAUAGCAAUGCUGAUUGGAGCGAUGAUAGAGAUGAACACAAGUUCACUUCAGGCUAUAUGUUUAUGCUUGGAGACGAGACAAUUUUCUGGUGCAGUAAGAAGUAGAGCUGCAUUUCCUUGUCAACCAUAGAAGCAGAGUACGUUAUUGCUUGUUCAGCGGCCGUUCAAGAGGCUGUUUGGCUGAGGAGAUUUCUCCAGCACCUUGACAUCGUGACUCAUGCUAAUGAGCCUGCUGAGUUAUCCUCUGAUAGCAUGGCUGCCCUAGAGUAUGUGAAAGAUCGCAAGUAUCAUGGUAGGACCAAGCAUAUAGAUAUCCUGUCACGCCCCGAGCCCGCCUCUUUGGUCGGAUUCGGGCACGCCAACAGACCGCCGAACGGACAGGGUUUCCCCUACACGCGGACAGAGUCUCCCCUGUACAUUCAAGGCGUCGCAAUCAAUACAAUUACAAGAGGUUCCAAACAGGAACAAUUUUCAACAACGAUUGCAUAAGGAAGGUAUCAAACAACAUAACACAUCCUAUAUUAUUACAAUCAUUCAUCUCAUCAUUUUACAUCGCAUUUUUCAUUACAUUGAUUCUCAACUUCCAAAUAUACAAUCGAUUUCUUUUCUUUUCUUUUCUUAUACCCCUAAGGAGCCGACUCAGGGUGCUGCUAUCUGGUCUCUGUGGUAGGGCGCUAACUACGGAGCUACGCCCUUUCCUCGCGCCGCCGCGCCGCUCGCGUGUGAACCUGUACCCCCAAAAACAACAACACGGGGGUGAGACUAUUGUCCAUAGUCGUCAGUGGGUACAGCCACCCAAGGGAAAAGCUCAACCCACCAGGUCCAAAGGAGGCACUGCAACAUGUUAGUCCAACAGAUAUAUACAUAUAACAUCAUGCAAUACAUGUUCAUGCCUCACAAAUAUGCAAAUUAUGCAACUCUUAGUCAUUCUUUACCAUUAGCCUUUCUUUAGAAUUUGCUAUUCUUUAUCAUUAGCCAUUCUUUACUCUUUAUUCUUUAUUCUUUAUUCUUUAUUCUUUAUUCUUUAUUCUUUAUUCUUUAUUCUUUAUUCUUUAUUCUUUAUUCUUUAUUCUUUAUUCUUUAUUCUUUAUUCUUUAUUCUUUAUUCUUUAUUCUUUAUUCUUUAUUCUUUAUUCUUUAUUCUUUAUUCUUUAUUCUUUAUUCUUUAUUCUUUAUUCUUUAUUCUUUAUUCUUUAUUCUUUAUUCUUUAUUCUUUAUUCUUUAUUCUUUAUUCUUUAUUCUUUAUUCUUUAUUCUUUAUUCUUUAUUCUUUAUUCUUUAUUCUUUAUUCUUUAUUCUUUAUUCUUUAUUCUUUAUUCUUUAUUCUUUAUUCUUUAUUCUUUAUUCUUUAUUCUUUAUUCUUUAUUCUUUAUUCUUUAUUCUUUAUUCUUUAUUCUUUAUUCUUUAUUCUUUAUUCUUUAUUCUUUAUUCUUUAUUCUUUAUUCUUUAUUCUUUAUUCUUUAUUCUUUAUUCUUUAUUCUUUAUUCUUUAUUCUUUAUUCUUUAUUCUUUGCUAAGGGCACUCGCACCUUAGGCGCAUUAUACACAUUUGCCAUUCUUUAUAACAUUAACAAACGUUUCUCAAUUGUCAUUCUUUCUCAAUUGUCAUUCUUUCACAGGGUUACCUUUACCCUAGCCAACUAUGCCACUCGACUCGGUCUUGAGUCAAUUCAUAAUGAAUACAAGAUCCACUUUCCAAUUCAUGAUUCCUUUUUGUUCUUUGUUCUUUAAUCUCACGGCUAACCCGGGGGUUUCGCCACAUUAACUUGCUUCACAUUAAGUCCAUCAUCGCAGGAACUCACCAGCUAGGACCGUCCUUACGGGUCUACUCCAACCCGGAUGCCAAACUCCGGAGCGCAUCGCCCGAGGGGGAGCGACCGCCCUCGAGCACGGAACUCAUAGCAAGUAUGAUCAUAUCCUUAACUCAAAGGAUUUGUAGUUGAAUCAUGGCUUUACACUAACUUUAGUGUUCUUUACAUCACAUUAGUUGCUAACUCUAGCAAUCAUUGUUCUUUACACCCCACUUGUCAAUUACUCUAGUAAUUGUCAUUCUUGAUACCACACUUGUUCUUUUGUUGCCACACACUAACUCUAGUGUGCUUCAUGUCACAUUGGUUGCUAACUCUAGCCAUUAUCAUUGUUCUUUACACUUUGCUUGUUCUUUAUGCCACAUUACUUUACAUCGCCUUUAGCCAUUAUCAUUAUUCUUUACAUCACAUUGCUUUGCCUUGUCUCAAGCCAUUAUCAUUAGGUUCUCACAUUACAUCUCAUGCAUACACAUAGAUUAUUUAGAUUCUUAAUCAUUCUAAUAAGCACGUGUACUCACAUCAUGCAACAUUACAUUAUUAUCAUCACAUUGUUUUACAUUAUCUUUAGCCAUUAUCAUUAUUCUUUACAUCACAUUUAUUCUUUGUUGUCCCACACUAACUCUAGUGUCCACUUUACCAUUUCGAAUGCCACUCGAUCUAUGUUCAACAUGCAUAUAUUUUGUCAUCCAUUGGUAGUCAUUACUUAGCAUUUUAUGCAUUCGUUAACAUUUACUACAUGCAUUCUCGGUUAGUACAAAUCUCAUACUUUCAUUUGACAUCUAUUUAGCAUUUCUAUAAUAUGCACAUGUAAAUUAACAUCAACUCAUGCAUUCAUUUGGCAUCUAUCUUUAUCAUGCAUUCUUAAAUAGCAUACUUUAUCAUGCAUUCUCAAAUAGCAUACUUUAUCAUGCAUCAAUAGUAAACAUACUACACUUUGGCAUGGAAAGCGACCUAAUCGCUUCGGUGAGCACAACCCACCUCAAAACGCUUUCCGAUUGCUUGUCGACACUUGCAAUCGGCCUCCCGCGGCACCCGUAACCCGGUUUGGCCCGAACUCUUGCGCGACCACCCGAACGGCCACCAAUUCGCGAUCCGUCUGUUCGGGAGUUUAUUCCCCGACACCACGAUGCUCCCGAUCCAUUCUCAUGAUUUUUGGAGGCUUAUCCCGCGUGCUGCGGCUAUCUGUACCAAAACAGAUUGUUUCGUCAAUAACUUUGCGUACACUCGUCGGAUUGUCGAACCGAGCGCACCAACGCGUUCGUUAUACCCCCAAUUAGGUUUAUAGAGGGUCAAUUGAGAUCAAACUCAACUAUUUACAAAAACCCUCUUUAGGAGCCCUAAUAUGCAACUAUUGCAAAAUCCACCAUUUCAUCUCAUGAAUCAAGCAUAAACCAUCUAUUUAGCAUGCUAGGAUUCCAUUAAAAUCAUCUUUAGAGUAUAAGAACUUAACCCUAAAGAUCUACCAUUAGAGAGCAUAAGGCUUACCUCUCUAAGCUUGCUCCCAUGGCUCAAGGAAGGAGAUGAAGAUGAAGCUCCAUCUUCUUGGCCUCUUCUCCUUCAUCUUCUUCUUUUUCUUCUCUUUCUUUCUCUUCUUCUCCUUCUUUUCUUUCUAGAGAGAGAGAGGGAGAGGUUUUGGUGUGGGAGAGUGAGAGAAAUGAGAGAAAGAGAGAAAGGGUCCUCUCUAUACACUCUCAUAAGUGCCAUUUUGCACUUAAGCCCCUCCACAAUGCUUCCCUCGCAACAGCCCAAACUGGGCAUUUUCGGGCUUCGGGGACCGGUCCUUGCGAUGAGAGACCGGUCCCUGAGAGACCGGUCCUUGGCUGAGAGACCGGUCCCCGAAGGUCCAGAAAUCAGCCUUCAAGGACUUAGCCAAAUUUUCCGCUUUUUCAUCGUUUUAGCUCCGUUUUCGCUCGUUUUUGCUCGUUUGACCUCCGAUUCAUUUCAAAUCGAACCGAGACUCUCCAAACAUGUUUUCGAACAUAUUUUCAUCAUCUUUUCACCCACGCUAAUGCCGGAUUUAACUCACGGUUCAACAUAGCCUUUCGGCUCCGUUUUCGCGCCCUAUGCGCACCGAAGCACCCGAAUGCUCCCGAACUUCGCCGGGACGAUUCCAAUGGCUUUCUAAGCUAACUUACAUCGUAACUUCGUGAAUUUAGAAGUUCGGUAUAUUACAUUCUCCACCCCUUAAAAGAAUUUCGUCCGCGAAAUUCAAACACAACUCGAUUCAGCUCCUCGAGCAAUUGAGGGCACCAAUACACUUUCCACUUCGGAAUGGCUUUACACUCCUUGGAACUAUCCAAAAGGACUACCACGGAGUUCAUGAUACUAAAUGCAUCCAAAUUUGCAAGGCGCAUCUCACAAAGUGCAUUAGGGUAUCCAUCACUCUUGGUGGCGGCGCAAGUCGAAACUCAACGACUCCACGCGCUCCAAUACCACUUGUCACUUGGCAUACAAGAACUCUUCUUCGCAUUUACUUUCCCCUCAGGGAAUACACUCCGAUUCUAUCUCCAACAUUGCUUAAAAGCAACAUCACUAGUGCAUCGCUUCACCGCGAGUGCUUUAAUUCCGCACCGAUCUUUAGCUCUAACAUGAGCCACCUCGGCACAUCCCAAAUCCAAUCCUCAAACUCCACGUGGCUUCUCACAAGUUCAAGGUCUCACCACGAGCACUUCAUCUUCUGAUACCAUAUGCCACGGCCAACGUCUUAUUACUUUCGCAAAGAGCUCACAUGAACACGUUAUUUGUGAACUCAAAUCAAACUCCCCGAUAAGGCUAUUCGCCAAAUCACUUUCCUCGACUUUCCACAGGUGGGCCAAAGGCCACCCAUACUACGUAGGCCUACAGCCUAAACCCGUCUCAAUACUCGACGUCCCUCGCUCGCAAGCGUAGACCCAAUCAUCGUUGGGGCGAAAUUCUCACUGGGAAAUUCGCACACACUCCAACCAGGAGCAACUAAAAUCCCAAACCGUUACAGAUUCCCGGGUUGGGUCACACUCGCACUCUCAGUAUACUAUCAAUCGCACUAUACGCUCUAUAGCACAAUACGUACCACUAUCAGCUCCUUUGCACCUAGUGCGAGCCACCAGCCCCACGAGUGAUCCGUGGCACGCUUCACACCUAGCAAUGCUCAGGUGCUACUGCCAACACACUCAUCCGGCUGAACUAAAUCCGCACUCCACGAGUAACUAUACUCGAGCGCUAUAUGCGCCUCUAUAGCAUUCCAACUAUGUCAAGCAUCAGGCAACUUUGCCUAUGCACACCGGCCACACGAGCACGACUCACCCACCUCAAUUCGAGAUACUACUAGGCCAACGCGCCCGUAUUUGGCAGCCAAUCGCUCUACCGGAGCAACAUCUAGAACACUCAAACCAUUCGAGUGUCCACAAGUGUCAUGACACAACUCUUGCAAUCAAUUACAUACAUUGCUCUGCAAGUUGGUUCGUCAUUUCCACCUCUACUACAAGUCUCAUCAUUAGACCAUCACUAGCAACUCGCUAGUACCAUCCAGUUCUCUACCUGCACCGGCAGGUGCAACGCUCUCACCACAUAAGCGUGCCCGGGUACUUACAUUUAUCCGCGCACUUGGAUCCUACUAUGCUACUACAUAAAUAGUAGUAAUUAAUUACAUGCUCAAUGCAUGCAAUGCACCAACUUUACAUUAUGCAGAAACACAUGACUGCAUUAAUGGCUCAUACCUGCCAUGACGUUGUCAGCAGCAGGUUCCAUAUCCCGGACAUAGUUCACGAUAGGGAGAAUUCCCGUUCGUACUCUCUAACUGAGCGGUCUCCUUGCCGCAGCUUCCUGAACUUGUCCUGAAGCUUUCUCUUUUCACUGUCGGGGGAAGUCAGUAGAAGAUACCAAUCCCCGAAACUCAUCCCAUGCCAUGGAGGAAUACUAGGUGAUCGGUUCCGCCGAAUGCCUUUCCACCACGCCUUAGCCGACUGUUUCAAACAAUACACGACUAGGGGUACCCUGUCCAGCUCCAAGGUAGACAGCUCCUCGAAAAGCGUUUCCACAGAGUCAAUCCACGUAUCCACAAUCCACGAAUCGACAUUCUCUCCAUCGAAGAUAGGUGGAUCAAACUUUAUGAAGGUCAUGAGGGCUGCCAAAGCCCGCUCUUUCUCAUUCUUUUCCUUUCCUUCCUCUCUCUUUCUUUGUCCUCUAGAGAGAGAAAGAGAAGUGAGAGAGUGUGAGGGUGAGGAUGAGAAAAUAUCUCAUUCACCCAUCAUACUCAGCCUAUUCAUUGCAAAAUUGCAACUAAGUCUCUCAACUUUUAUUUCACAACACUGCCCAAACUGGGCAGACUUCGGGCUCUGAGACCGGUCUCCCCGACCAUGGGACCGGUUCCUGAGAGCUCUCCCCGCGGCAGCAGAGCUCGUGCGCAAUGCAACCGCUCUCCCCUGGUGAGACCGGUCUCUCGGGGACCGGUCUGUCCCCUUGGGACCGGUUCCCGAGAGCUGCGUUUCCAAGACUUAGCCAAAUCUUCAGUUCCCAGACUCCACACGCGCUCGGGGACCGGUCUCCCCGACUUGGGACCGGUCCCUGAGAGCUGAAAACCUGCAGCUUUGCAGAUUUUCAAUUCCAACGCUCUCGAAGACCUCUCCGAGGCACUUUUACUCAUUUUGACGUCCUCGGCCUCUCCGAAGCACACCCAUUUCAUACUUUGGUCACUUUGACUAAAGUUCGAUAUUUCGACCACCGAGUUUCGAUAUAUUACAUCUACAAUUUUUUUUUUGGAGUCUCUUAAUUCCCUCCCCUUGGUGCAUAGCAGCCUCUUGCGGCCGCUGCACCACAUCAGCUUGUUGCCUCACCACACCCACAAGCGUGGCCAACUGUUCGCGAAGUUCCAAGUCUCCGCGCGCCUCGGAUUGCUCAGGGACAUCACUUGUCCCACCCCGCGUCGAUCUAAACGAAGAUCGCCUACGCGGUGCCAUCGUUACCUAGAACAUGACAACUCAACUAACUCUCAACCUUCUAGGUCGAGUAUGAAACAAUUGACACCAACUCAAAUCGGGCGAAAGUCAUACAAGGGCAUCUAUUCUCAUCACUCGGUUUCAUGUUGUACGCGUCCAACAUGAACACCCUCGGUUGAGAAUAGACAACACCUUGGAUCUACCUCUAAUCUCCUUUUUAGAGGUUUACAACACAACCCAAUCCCUUAACCUUUCGCCAAAAGUCAUAAGUCCUCGUCUCUCACGAGCCUUAAUCUCCUAUGGUUUACUAUCCUAGGGUCUCCUAGGUUCAUCUAAACCACUUUUCCAUUCUCUACUUUAUGCUCUGAUACCAUCUUAUCUGUCACGCCCCGAGCCCGCCUCUUUGGUCGGAUUCGGGCACGCCAACAGACCGCCGAACGGACAGGGUUUCCCCUACACGCGGACAGAGUCUCCCCUGUACGUUCAAGGCGUCGCAAUCAAUACAAUUACAAGAGGUUCCAAACAGGAACAAUUUUCAACAACGAUUGCAUAAGGAAGGUAUCAAACAACAUAACACAUCCUAUAUUAUUACAAUCAUUCAUCUCAUCAUUUUACAUCGCAUUUUUCAUUACAUUGAUUCUCAACUUCCAAAUAUACAAUCGAUUUCUUUUCUUUUCUUUUCUUAUACCCCUAAGGAGCCGACUCAGGGUACUGCUAUCUGGUCUCUGUGGUAGGGCGCUAACUACGGAGCUACGCCCUUUCCUCGCGCCGCCGCGCCGCUCGCGUGUGAACCUGUACCCCCAAAAACAACAACACGGAGGUGAGACUAUUGUCCAUAGUCGUCAGUGGGUACAGCCACCCAAGGGAAGAGCUCAACCCACCAGGUCCAAAGGAGGCACUGCAACAUGUUAGUCCAACAGAUAUAUACAUAUAACAUCAUGCAAUACAUGUUCAUGCCUCACAAAUAUGCAAAUUAUGCAACUCUUAGUCAUUCUUUACCAUUAGCCUUUCUUUAGAAUAUGCAAUUCUUUAUCAUUAGCCAUUCUUUAUUCUUUAUUCUUUGCUAAGGGCACUCGCACCUUAGGCCCAUUAUACACAUUUGCCAUUCUUUAUAACAUUAACAAACGUUUCUCAAUUGUCAUUCUUACUCAAUUGUCAUUCUUUCACAGGGUUACCUUUACCCUAGCCAGCUAUGCCACUCGACUCGGUCUUGAGUCAAUUCAUAAUGAAUACAAGAUCCACUUUCCAAUCCAUGAUUCCUUUUUGUUCUUUGUUCUUUAAUCUCACGGCUAACCCGGGGGUUUCGCCACAUUAACUUGCUUCACAUUAAGUCCAUCAUCGCAGGAACUCACCAGCUAGGACCGUCCUUCGGGUUUACUCCAACCCGUGAUGCAAAACUCCGGAGCGCAUCGCCCGAGGGGGAGCGACCGCCCUCGAGCACGGAACUCAUAGCAAGUAUGAUCAUAUCCUUAACUCAAAGGAUUUGUAGUUGAAUCAUGGCUUUACACUAACUUUAGUGUUCUUUACAUCACAUUAGUUGCUAACUCUAGCAAUCAUUGUUCUUUACACCCAACUUGUCAAUUACUCUAGUAAUUGUCAUUCUUGAUACCACACUUGUUCUUUUGUUGCCUCACACUAACUCUAGUGUGCUUCAUGUCACAUUGGUUGCUAACUCUAGCCAUUAUCAUCGUUCUUUACACUUUGCUUGUUCUUUAUGCCACAUUACUUUACAUCGCCUCAAGCCAUUAUCAUUAUUCUUUACAUCACAUUGCUUUGCCUUGUCUCAAGCCAUUAUCAUUAGGUUCUCACAUUACAUCUCCUGCAUACACAUAGAUUAUUUAGAUUCUUAAUCAUUCUAAUAAGCACGUGUACUCACAUCAUGCAACAUUACAUUAUUAUCAUCACAUUGUUUUACAUUAUCUUUAGCCAUUAUCAUUAUUCUUUACAUCACAUUUAUUCUUUGUUGUGCCACACUAACUCUAGUGUCCACUUUACCAUUUCGAAUGCCACUCGAUCUAUGUUCAACAUGCAUAUAUUUUGUCAUCCAUUGGUAGUCAUUACUUAGCAUUUUAUGUAUUCGUUAACAUUUACUACAUGCAUUCUCGGUUAGUACAAAUCUCAUACUUUCAUUUGACAUCUAUUUAGCAUUUCUAUAAUAUGCACAUGUAAAUUAACAUCAACUCAUGCAUUCAUUUGGCAUCUAUCUUUAUCAUGCAUUCUUAAAUAGCAUACUUUAUCAUGCAUUCUCAAAUAGCAUAUUUUAUCAUGCAUCAAUAGUAAACAUACUACACUUUGGCAUGGAAAGCGACCUAAUCGCUUCGGUGAGCACAACCCACCUCAAAACGCUUUCUGAUUGCUUGUCGACACUUGCAAUCGGCCUCCCGCGGCACUCGUAGCCCGGUUUGGCCCGAACUCUUGCGCGACCACCCGAACGACCACCAAUUCGCGAUCCGUCUAUUCGGGAGUUUAUUCCCCGACACCACGAUGCUCCCGAUCCAUUCUCAUGAUUUUUGGAGGCUUAUCCCGCGUGCUGCGGCUAUCUGUACCAAAACAGAUUGUUUCGUCAAUAACUUCGCGUACACUCGUCGGAUUGUCGAACCGAGCGCACCAACGCGUUCGUUUGGUCCCCAAUUAGGUUUAUAGAGGGUCAAUUGAGAUCAAACCCAACUAUUUACAAAAACCCUCUUUAGGAGCCCUAAUAUGCAACUAUUGCAAAAUCCACCAUUUCAUCUCAUGAAUCAAGCAUAAACCAUCUAUUUAGCAUGCUAGGAUUCCAUUAAAAUCAUCUUUAGAGUAUAAGAACUUAACCCUAAAGAUCUACCAUUAGAGAGCAUAAGGCUUACCUCUCUAAGCUUGCUCCCAUGGCUCAAGGAAGGAGAUGAAGAUGAAGCUCCAUCUUCUUGGCCUCUUCUCCUUCAUCUUCUUCUUUUUCUUCUCUUUCUUUCUCUUCUUCUCCUUUUCUUUCUAGAGAGAGAGAGGGAGAGGUUUUGGUGUGGGAGAGUGAGAGAAAUGAGAGAAAGAGAGAAAGGGUCCUCUCUAUACACUCUCAUAAGUGCCAUUUUGCACUUAAGCCCCUCCACAAUGCUUCCCUCGCAACAGCCCAAACUGGGCAUUUUCGGGCUUCGGGGACCGGUCCUUGCGAUGAGAGACCGGUCCCUGAGAGACCGGUCCUUGGCUGAGAGACCGGUCCCCGAAGGUCCAGAAAUCAGCCUUCAAGGACUUAGCCAAAUUUUCAGCUUUUUCACCGUUUUAGCUCCGUUUUCGCUCGUUUUUGCUCGUUUGACCUCCGAUUCAUUUCAAAUCGAACCGAGACUCUCCAAACAUGUUUUCGAACAUAUUUUCAUCAUCUUUUCACCCACGCUAAUGCCGGAUUUAACUCACGGUUCAACAUAGCCUUUCGGCUCCGUUUUCGCGCCCUAUGCGCACCGAAGCACCCGAAUGCUCCCGAACUUCGCCGGGACGAUUCCAAUGGCUUUCUAAGCUAACUUACAUCGUAACUUCGUGAAUUUAGAAGUUCGGUAUAUUACAUAUCCGUUUUCACUACAUUCGAGACAUGAUUAAAUGAGAGGAGGUCGUUCUUAGAUAUAUCUCUACUACUAGGAUGGUGGUCGAUCUAUUGACCAAGCCGAUAGCCAGAGAUAUGUUCCCGACCCAAGUUAGGAGUUUCGGUCUUCACAGGUUUUGAUGGACUUUAUUUUGUAUCUUACGCUUUCUUAAUGAAAAUAUAUUUUUCUUCUUUUAAUGUGAUUGCGUAAUUGAUACUAGUAGGCACAUAUUCGAUAAGUCACCACGCUUAGAUCAGCCCGCUCACACGGGCGAUCGCCCUGACACCUAGGUGGUGAGCAGGAUGAGACUAGAUGAUCAUAUUAAAUUUGAGUAGUUGUAAUAUGAUUGCGUUGUUCAUAUACGUUAAUGAAUAAAGUGUUGACAUAAUUUAAAAGUCGCCUUAAUUAGCUUAAAAUGAGACUCUAAAGAGUUCGACAUGAAAGUUUUUCUGUGAAAUUUGAUCUCGAGCCUGUAUAGUAGCUGAACCUAAGUGCUCAGGUUAGAGAGAUGACUUGAGUUAUGUGAUGGUUAGAUACCUUAGUGGUACUAAGACUAAGGUUCAUAUGGCGGUUUUAGAGCAUGACAUGACCCAUUGAGUGGGAGCUCCGCCGUAGCAUACAUAUCAUACUAUAUGUGCUUGUUGACCAGUCAGUAGAGUGACAUAAGUUCUUCCCUCUAUGUCACUGUGUGAGCACUAACCUUUUUAUGCCCUCGACUUAGAACUACGUUAUGAAAUGGAGGUCCAAAGUAACUAACCUAGUGUGUAUCUCAGGGUCAUAAGAAAAUAUGAUCUCACGGAGCAUGUCUAGUAAAGUGUUUGAAUCGAUACAGAUUAACAUGAGGGGUUGAGGAAGAUAUUUUGAUAACACACCACGUAAGUCUUGUGACUCAUUGCCCGGGCGGUUAUCUCGGUUGUGUUACUUGAGAUAAUCAUGAGUACAAAAAAUAACUAUUGGGUCGAGCCCUCUCAUUACAGGAGAGGGACUUUGUGAUGUUUGAUCCGGUGUGUGUUGAAACGUCUAGGGUAUAGGCGAAUUAAGUCAGUGAUGUGCUAUAUUAGUUAGGUGGUGACUUAAUAUAGCGCUCUUGCAUGUGUUACUUUCGUCAGGUCGCACGCUCUAUUACCCAUAUGAAGAGAAGAAUGAGUGAGAGAGAAUUGGCCAAUGUGGCUGUAAGAAAGUGGAUCCUCGUCGUAUUAAACCACUUUUGGUCAAAAAGACCAAAGCGUGGCGAGAAGAAUGUUUGGACAUGGUCCAUUUAACAUUCCAACUAUGUUGGAAGGGUUAAAGUUGAAUUUAAAGAGAGAUUAAAAGGUUUUAGCAUUUAUCGGAGUGAAACAAUGCAAAACUGCAGUCUGGAGCAUUGUUAACCGGCGAAGCUUAGAAGAGUAUCGGUACCAGGCUGGCACCCGAGAGAAGCAGCUCUCGGGUUUGCCUCUGUUAAGGCUGUUAAUCGGUGACUGUCCUGGUGCGUACCGGUACCCCGCUGCGACCCGAGAAACAGCAGCUCUUGGGUUGGGCUGUUGAACAGGGGGCGUACCGGUGACGCCAACCCGCGUAUCGGUACGCAGUGCCCGAAACAGCAGGUUAAGUCUACUGCAAAUAAAAGAAAAUGAAAGGCUUUGUUGCAAUUGUAACAGCCUAUAUAAGGUCCCACACCCCUUUUUUCUCUCUCACAGCCAGAAAUACCCUCUCUUCUCUCAUUUCUCUCCCUCUCUCUCUCUAGGAGCUCUUCCCCAAGGUGAAAGAAAGAGAUUGGAGGAGAUCUAGAGGAGAUUUUUGGAGCUUUUGGAGGAUUUAGAGCUCUCCUACAAGGUGGAGCUUGUUGAGUUUAUAGGCUAAGGUGAGGUUUCUUGUAAGAAUUAGGCUAGGGCUUGGUUUUAUGCCUUAAAUCUUUGGUUUUGAUAUUCUUACAUGGAAAGGAACCUCGUAGAGACCAAGAAAUCUCAUGAACUCUAUGUUUGUUCAUAGUGCUCUCAUGGUGGAUUUCUAGGGUUAGGUUUAUAUACUCUAGAAAUGAUUUUAAUGGAACCCUGGGAUGCUAAAUAGAUGAAUAUUGUUUGAAUCACAAGGUUGUAUGAUGAUUUCUUGCAAGAUUGAGUAUUAGGAUUCAAAAAGGGGGUUUUUGCAAAUAUUAGGAUUUGAUCUAAAUUAACCCUAUACAAACCAAAUUGCUAGGUUUUCUGGCGCGUUGGUGGCUUCGGUUCGGCAAUCCGACGAGGCUACGCGAAGAUAUUGGCGAAAAGGACUGUUUUGGCUUCGUCUCCGCCUGGGAGGCCGAGGCGGCGUCCAAAAAUCACGAAAUCGGAUUCCCAGCAUCGAGGCAUCGCCUAGAGGUGGGGGGUGCUAUCCGAAGCCAUCGAGCUUCCUUCUAAGUCUAUGUUUGCAUUGUCGACCAUGUGAUUUUCAUAUUACUAUGCAUUGUAGGAUUGUGAUAGUGGUAUUACCUAUUCCUUAUAUGUUUCCAUAGUUAAUAUUGCAUUGUGAGGUGGAUACAUGAUGUAGUGGGUAUGUAAGGAUUGGGUCUGGACAUUGGAAUCCUAUAGUGCCAAAAUAAGUGAUGAAUGACAUAACGAGUGGCAUGUAAAUAGACGAAAACAUGGACGAGUGGCAUGUGGACAUAGUGUAGAUGAGACACUUGAACUUGAACAUAGGGAUGGUUGAAUUCCCGAGUUGUUGUUAGCCUUAAAGGCAGGGUGACCUCAGUGGACGAGGACUGGACCAUACUCACAUAGUCUGUUUUGAGCUUGGCGUGGUCGCUCCACCCAAGUAGUGCACUCCGGAGUUGUCACACGAGGGACAGACGUAGUUGUCCCGCAGGCGGUCUUGGGUGGGAUGUUGCGGCGGAAGCUCCUCACCUAUGGGAGAUUUGAGAUGUGAGUCGGGGCAAACCUUCGGGUCAGCCAAGUGAUUGGGUGAACAUAUGAAUGGCAAGUUUGUUGACAUAGUGGCAUGAUAGUUGACAUCAUUACGAUAUAUUUCAUGCAUUCAUAUUGCUUGAAGCAUAGUAGAAUAAUUGUAGAAUUUAUACUAUGUAGCAGUUCUUUAUCAUAUCUAUCUAUCUAUCUAUCUACUUAUGCUUGCUUAGACCUAGUGUGAGGAUCGGCAGAGUCGGCGGCCGAACCCACUGGGAACUAUGGACAAUAGUUCUCACCCUAUGUGGUUUUGGGGUACAGGUACUUGCGAGAGCGGACCGACAGAUGAUCGUGGUAAGGGCUUAGUGCCCUAGUAGCUUGCAGCUUUCCCUUUUUGCAUUAAUGUACCGUCGUGUACAUGGAUGUAUCUAGAUGUAUGGUUGGAGAGUUACUUAUGUAUUUUGAAGAUGAAUAUGUAAACCCUUAUGUAUACAUUUUGGGAGGUGAAACUGUAAUAGUUAGAACUCUUUCUCUUUGCUCUCUUGUAUACUCUUGUAUGACUACUCGCUUGUAUGUCUACUUGCUUAGAUUGUGUAUUUUGUUUAAGUUUUUCCUGGGCAAACUGUAUGUACAUGAUCUUGUUGUUUAGCCUUGGGCGGGCAGGGGAGGCUCUGCCCGUUCAGCGUUUGUUUGAUGAGCCCGAACCGACCAAAAUGGCGGUUGUGGGGCGUGACAUAUAAAGUGGUAUCAGAGCAAGUAAGAGCAAGUAAAGAGAGAUGUCUAAGACGGACCUAGGAGACCCUAGGAUGGUAAACUUAAGGCUAUAGGUACGUGAGUGGAAUGUGGGCCUAUGCCGGUGGCGGAAGUGGAUUCGAUUGGAUUAAAGUUGUAGUAUGUUUCUAGUAGUUGCUAGAGACGAAUUCGAGUGGUAUUAGUUCUCGACGCGAGGUGGUUAUGUUGGCGGCCGACAACAUGACGCUAAGAGUUUAGAAUGAGUACACUUGGGUGCUUCCGCCUAAUUUGCAACGUUAUGUCGUUUUGUUUCGUAGUCGCAAAGAAAUUGACAGGUUAAGGUGAUUAACCAAAAUGUUGCGUUUCAGGAGCUAUGGCACCUAGAGGACGCCCCCGGACGCGAUCUGCUCCGGCACCACCUUCCGAGGUGCCCGAGUAGUCUGGAUCCGAUGAAGUGCGGGAACUGCGGGCACAGAUUGCUACAAUGGUCGGCGCGAUGCAGCGCCAAGAGGAUCGAAUAGCAAGGCUGCAGGAGCUUGUAGCGCAGCAGGUGUAUGUUGAGCAACCCGCGCCUCCUGUCGUUGCGCCUGUCGUGACUGAGGGUGUGGCCACGGCGGCCGUGCUGGUUGCAGUGAGGGCCACGCCGGUGAUGGUAGCUACGGGUUCGGGAACUUCAAAUCCCGAUGGUGCGGCGUUGGAAGCGGAGAGGGAGCACACACUUGAUGCCCUCGUGACAUUCCGAAAGUUUGAUCCACCGGUCUUCGACGGGGAGAAGGUCGAGCCAUGGAUGGUCGAGUCGUGGGUUGACUCGAUGGAGACUCUAUUCGAAGAUCUCUAUACGUUGGAAAAGGACAAAGUCCACCUCACUACUCAUUACUUGGAGCGAACGACGAAGGUGUGGUGGAAGCGAGUCAAGCGGGACCGGUCUUCUGACAUUCCGCCACUGACGUGGGAGGAGUUUUCGGGGUUCCUUAUUAGUUAAGAAACGUAUCGCCUAGUGGAUAUCUAUUGUGGAUAUCCUAAUUCUAAUCUCUAUGUGAGAUUCAGGAUAUUUUAAGGGGUUCCAUUAUUCUAUAAAUACGUCCCUUUUUCUCUCUCGUAUCAUACGAUCUAAUUCGAUCUAAGAGAAUCCACAAUUAAUCUUCUUUCUUUUCUAAGAUUUCCACCUACGUUCGUGGGGUUUUGGAGUGUGAACAUAGAAAAGAACUCUGGUAGCCUUCUUCGAUUGACAUCCGUGUCAUCCUAUUUGCACCCCAUUUAUGUCCGACGCAUCUAAUCCGUGACACGAAGCAUAGGCAUCGAGACCAGGGCGAUCCAAGCAGGCUAGUAAAACAAGCAAUUCGAUUCCGGUUCCUGAAUAUGUUGGCUAUCCAGUUCGUAAGUUUCUGCUGCCCUCGAAUUUCCUACAAGAUAUAAUGUAACGACCCAGCCCACUAGUAACAAUAACUCGUUGGGCCCAACAACCGGCCCAAAAUGCUUAAGCCCAGUUAUUAUUACUAGUGUCUAAGUCUCUUAUAAACCCAAUGACAACCCCAUUCCCAUCCGAUGUGGGACUAUUGGGGUGUCACAGACUCCCCCGGUUAAGGCCCUGACGUCCUCGUCAGUCCAANNNNNNNNNNNNNNNNNNNNNNNNNNNNNNNNNNNNNNNNNNNNNNNNNNNNNNNNNNNNNNNNNNNNNNNNNNNNNNNNNNNNNNNNNNNNNNNNNNNNCUGGUGGUAACCUGACUGGAGAUCAAUCUUCGAGAAGACAUAAGAUCCCUGCAGCUGAUCAAACAAAUCAUCAAUGCGCGGCAAGGGAUACUUAUUCUUGAUGGUCACUUUAUUCAGCUCCCGGUAAUCCAAAUACAGCCUAAGUGAACCAUCCUUCUUCUUAACAAAUAACACCGGCGCUCCCUAAGGCGAAACACUGGGUCUCACAAACCCUCUAUCCAUCAAGUCCUGAAGCUGUGCCUUAGCUCUAUCAGCUCUGCCGGCGCCAUCCGAUAAGGUACCUUUGAGAUUGGUGCAGUUCCAGGAACUACAUCAAUCACAAACUCAAUCUCCCUCUCCGGCAGCAACGUCGUCAACUCAGGGAGAAACACAUCCGAAAACUCGCGGACUACUGGGAUGUCCUCAAGUCCCGGCGCCGCCGUAGGUACCUUCACAACUGUCGCUAGGAAAGCGAUACACCCACUGCUCAGCAUCUGUCGAGCCCUCGCCGAAGAUAUCCAAAUAGCAAACAGCGUGCUCCUACAGCCUCUAAAAGUGAACUCCUCCUGGCCUGGCUCGCGGAAUGUCACCGUCCUCGCUCCACAGUCGAUCGUAGCAUAGUACCGCACCAGCCAAUCCAUACCGAGCACAACGUCGAAGUCCUGCAGCUACCCUAAAAUCAACAAGUCUACGGGCAUGAUCCACAAAUCCAACUGCACUGGACACGACCAACAACACCCCAUGACCUGCAAGACAUGGUCUGGGAUCUGCACCUCUCGUGCCUGAGACAAUGCUCCUAACUCUAGACCAUGUAACUGUGCAAAUGCUCGGCUAACAAAGGAAUGCGAUGCACCGGUAUCAAAAAGAGCACGUGUAACAUACCGAACUUCUAAAAUCAUGAAGUCACGGUGUACAUUUAGAUGGUUCCGGUAAGGUUGCGGUGGAAUGUAACGUACCGGAUUUUAAAUAGAAAAGUGAAAAUAAAUAAAAAUAGUAUGAGAUACUAUUUUAUCGGAUUUAGAGAAGCGAAAUAUAGGUUGGGAAUGACCUGUGCUGAAAUCGGAGCGAAAACAGAAGAUUUAGAAUUUUCUGGGAGAAACGGGGCAGAUAAAUUAGCAGAAAAUGCACAGUCUCAGAAAAUUAUGAAAAUUGGCGGGGAUGCCAGAAAUAUUUUU
This 30765-nucleotide long non-coding RNA is filed under the name Ananas comosus (pineapple). RNAcentral describes it as "long non-coding RNA (ACOM_LNC003285)". Lineage: Eukaryota; Viridiplantae; Streptophyta; Magnoliopsida; Poales; Bromeliaceae. The record is from RNAcentral.